This is a long non-coding RNA of Manduca sexta (tobacco hornworm), 1059 nucleotides long. RefSeq lists it as uncharacterized. The record is from RefSeq and is a predicted model, not a curated record. Lineage: Eukaryota; Metazoa; Arthropoda; Insecta; Lepidoptera; Sphingidae. The transcript is spliced from 4 exons.
UUAACAGCUGAAAGAGACUGUAGGCCCGAGUAUUUUGUAUAAACUUCGACUGGUACCAUUACGCGCUUCUAAGAAAAAGGUUCUUGAAAGAUAGACUGACGGACAUCAAAUUGAUCCUAUAAGGGUUUCUUUUGAGGUGCGGUACCCAUCAAUUUGUUAGUGUCUCUUGCAUCAUUACGAUGUAAAUCAUGUACUUAUAUGAAUCAAAAGAACAAAUCACAUGUGAACCCAUGGCGGUCGGCAGAAGUGUCAGUGCUAACAUGUCUCCGCUAUGACUUUCUCAUAAUAUGACUAUCGACAGGGCUCAAAGAUCAAAACAGAUUCAUUUAGUAUUAAGCGCUCAUUUUAAUUUGCGUGUAAUCGAGUUAAGUAGGAAGAUAUUUUCUGUUCGGAGUAUUUUUUUAUGUAAUAUUUUAUUAUUAAAAUCCUAGAUGUUUUAUUAACCCAUUCUUUUAUUUUGUUUCAGGUAUUGUUUGUAGUUUAAUAAAGAAAGCGAAACUUCGAAGGUUCGUAAUAUAAAGCUGUCUUUUUGGAGUAUGUCGCAGUAAGCUCGUGAUACCAUAUGGACGACAACGAAAUUGCUUCGAAAAAGUACAAAAAACCCAGCAUCAUGAUGACCUGAUUAUAUCGGCCGGGCCUCGAACCCCGAUAUCCGCAGGUGACCACCCGACAGGAAGCCACGGGUCGCGGCGAAAGCCUUUUGUGUACGGCUGUAAGCGACCGCCGGCUUCCGGCGCGGGAUUUAUUGCGGCAUCCUAGCUAGUAAAGAUCUGGGUCUAGAUAAAGUAAAGUUGCAGACUACUCUGGUAUUGCUGGACGUUAUGUAACGUAAUAACAAAAAACUGUUGCAUGAAUGUGCUAUACAUAUAUUAAACAACAGGACAAACUGCUGCCCAAAAAGAUCUCUCUCAUAUAUUUCUACGGCUUCGUAUUAUCUUUUCCAUUUUCGUAUGAAUUAAAUCCUCUCGGGCGGCCCAUAAAAGUAAUAAGGAAAUGUUAAAUAAACACAAUGGUUAUUUUUUAGAUUUGUAAAAGCCUUGCCAUGGCUAUUUUACGUAA